This 2758-nucleotide unclassified non-coding RNA is filed under the name Hevea brasiliensis (rubber tree). The record is from RNAcentral. Lineage: Eukaryota; Viridiplantae; Streptophyta; Magnoliopsida; Malpighiales; Euphorbiaceae.
GUGCAAUGUCCUUCAUGUGACGGGGAUCCAAAGGAAUGCAGCGUCUGGGGUCACUGCAUCACCACUUCUUUUUAGGCUCUCGUAAACCUCUCUUAAACCCUUGCCCUUUCUAUUCGUUCAUCUCUAUCUGUACUUUUAGCUACUCUCCUGAUUCAACAGAAGUCAUUUACGACAAUCUUCUGAAGUCCUGUGAUGGCUUGGCUUUUCUCAAACAGAUACAUUUGGUUCUCACCACCACCAGUCUCAUCGAUAAAAGCCCUCACUUGGGUGCCCAAAUUAUCAUCAAAUAUGCUCAAUUUGGAGACCCCAAUUCCGCUAGAGCGUUGUUCGAUCAUAUUAAUAUCCAUGGUGACAAGCCUAGUUCUUUCCUUUGGAAUACGAUGAUUCGGGCUUAUGCAAAUGGUGGCCACUGCUUCGAAACGUUGCAGUUAUAUUCGGUCAUGCACAGAGCCGGCAUUUCACCGAACAACUACACUUUUCCUUUCAUAUUUAAGGUCUGUGCUUCGAACUCGUUGAUUCUUCUAGGGAAAGUGGCUCAUGGAGAUGCUUUGAAAACUGGAUUCGAUUCGGAUUUAUAUGUUGAGGCUGCGUUGGUGGACAUGUACGCAAAAGGCGAUCAAUUUUGUGAUGGUCGCAAGAUUUUCGACGAAAUGUCGAUGAAGGAUUUAGUUUGCUGGACAGCAAUGAUCACAGCCUAUGAACAGGCUGAGAAGCCUGAAGAGGCUCUCAUUUUGUUCCAAAAAAUGCAACAGGAGGGGCUUUUGGCGGAUUCAGUUACUAUUGUGAGCGUUGCCUCUGCUAUUGGUCGAUUAGGACAUGCCAAGAGGGCUCAAUCAGUUCAUUGUUAUGCCAUUCGCCAUUUGUUUCUCGAGGAAAUAUGUGUUGCCAACUCAGUUAUUGCUAUGCAUGCCAAAUGUGGGGAUAUGGAUAAGGCUCGCUUGGUUUUUGAUAUGAUGGAUGAAAGAAAUUCUAUCUCGUGGAACUCUAUGCUUUCGGGCUAUACCCAAAAUGGAAAAGCCAGUGAAGCUCUGCUACUUUUUGAUGAGAUGCGUGAUUCUGGAUGUGAACUUAACCCAGUGACAGCAUUGAUCAUGGUUGCAGCCUCUGCUUAUUUGGGCUCGUCCCAUCUUGGAAGGAAAUUCCAUGAUUUUAUUCUUGAUAGUAAAAUGAAAGUUGACAUGAACCUUUGGAAUGCGCUGAUGGACAUGUAUGCCAAAUGUGGAGACCUAGAAACUGCUGUGGAAAUAUUCAGUGGUAUUCAUCCAAGUGAGCGGGAUGUUUGUUCUUGGAAUGUAUUGAUUUCUGGGUAUGGCAUGCAUGGAUAUGGAAAAGAAGCGCUGAAACUCUUCUCUAGAAUGCAAGAGGAAGGUGUUGAGCCAAACCACAUUACUUUCACAUCAAUUCUUUCUGCUUGUAGCCAUGCAGGCCUUGUUGAUGAAGGGAGAAAGUGUUUCAGAGACAUGACAAAGUCCGUGACACCAGAGAUGAAACACUAUGCUUGCAUGGUUGAUAUGCUUGGACGAGCUGGGCUCUUGCAGGAAGCAUUUGAUCUUAUUAAAGAAAUGCCAGCACCUCCAAAUGAUUCUGUAUGGGGUGCUCUGCUUUUGGCUUGCAAAAUCCAUGGGAACAUGGAAUUAGGGAAAAUUGCAGCCAACAAUCUAUUCCAGCUUGAGCCAAACCAUACGGGAUACUAUGUGUUAAUGUCAAACAUAUAUGCAGCUUCAAACAGGUGGCAAGAAGUUGGGAAACUGAGACAAGAUAUGAAGAAUAAGGGCCUGAAGAAACCUGCAGCGUUUAGUGUGAUUGAGUAUGGCAGUGAAAUUCAUGGGUUCCACACAGCUGACCAUGAAAACCCAUAUUGGCAAGAGGUUUACAGAAAAGUCGAGAGCUUGACGAUUGAAAUGAAGUUGGCUGGGUAUAUACCAGAUCUAUCAUGUGCUCUGCAUGAUGUGGAAGAGGAAGAUAAGGAGCACAUCUUAAACUAUCACAGUGAGAAGCUAGCUGUGGCUUUUGGAAUUCUGAUGAUUGAUUCAGGAAUGGCAAUUCGAGUCACGAAAAAUCUUCGGGUUUGCAAUGACUGUCAUUUAGCCUUCAAGUAUAUUUCGUGCAUAUAUGGACGGAGGAUUAUUGUAAGAGAUGCAAAUCGGUUCCAUCACUUUCAAGGUGGCAGUUGCUCAUGCAAGGAUUAUUGGUAAAUAGUACAUGUUAAACCCUAGCAACUCAGCUUUGAUGGUCAAGUAUUGACAUUGAAGUCUUUUGGAAGGUUCUCAUAAAUUUUACGUAGAUCAAGGAAUAGAGUAAAGGUAAUCUAAUACUAUCCAUCCAAGAAAAAGUCAAAUAGUUAGCGCGUGGAAUAAAAGAUCUAAUGUGGCAGUCAAAACAUCAACGAUGGAGCCAAAUUAUCCAACACUGAACAGUAUCAACCAAACAAAAAGAUAGCUCGACCUAGUCUUGAGCUGGACAGCAAUAAGAGUAAUGUUGUCACUCGGGAAACAAGCCAAGCUUAAUUUAUACCGAGUAAUAAUAGCAUCAAGCAAAAAUAAAGCAGAUUAUCAGGAGGCAACUAGGGAUGUCAACUCAAGAUUGUUUCUGUGUUUAAGUCAAUGAUUAUUUUUCCUAAAGCCUAUAAAUACGCAUACACGCUGUCCAAAUCAAUACUACAUUAUUCUUUUAUUCUUUUAUUCUCAUAUUAUUAUUUUCUAAUUUAAGCAUUGGAGUGGUCGGCCAAGAGGGCCACUGACCUCACCUUUCUUUGUUU